RNAcentral lists this ribosomal RNA (330 nucleotides) under uncultured Acidobacteriota bacterium. RNAcentral describes it as "bacterial SSU rRNA". It matches the Rfam family "Bacterial small subunit ribosomal RNA", at positions 568 to 898 of the family's 1533-position model. The record is from RNAcentral. Lineage: Bacteria; Pseudomonadati; Acidobacteriota.
UCCGUAGGCGGUGUGGCAAGUCGGAAGUGAAAUCUCAGGGCUUAACCCUGAGGCUGCUCCCGAAACUGCCGUGCUAGAGUGCGAGAGAGGCGAGUGGAAUUGCAGGUGUAGCGGUGAAAUGCGUAGAUAUCUGCAGGAACACCCGAGGCGAAAGCGGCUCGCUGGAUCGCAACUGACGCUGAGGGACGAAAGCUAGGGGAGCAAACAGGAUUAGAUACCCUGGUAGUCCUAGCCCUAAACGAUCAGGACUGGGCGUGGGCCCCGUACGGGGCUCGUGCCGCAGCUAACGCGUUAAGUCCUGCGCCUGGGGAGUACGGUCGCAAGGCUGAA